Molecule: RNA transcript, 1912 nt
Organism: Heteronotia binoei (common prickly gecko)
Lineage: Eukaryota; Metazoa; Chordata; Lepidosauria; Squamata; Gekkonidae
Gene: LIPT1
Gene name: lipoyltransferase 1
Exons: 3
Source: RefSeq, a predicted model, not a curated record
GUGCAUACUCGGAGCGGUGUUUGAAAACACUAGACCGUCAGUCUAGUUUCUGUAACUCUAUGGCUGUAGUUAACGAUCCGCCUUAUUUCGUGGACAGGCACAGCACACCUCACCAGGGCAAAGGACCCGAUUUUCAGGACUGAGAAGCCAGGCACACCAAGAGAAGCUGGAACCCAAGCUAGUUUAUCAUUCUCCUCUUCUCCAUUUUAUCUUCACAGCACCCUGUGAGGCUCUCUGCAAUAAAAGUAGAACAGGGAAUUUCUGCAUCACUAGAUCAUGUCCACUUACCAGAAGAAAUAUUUCAUAUUAUCAUCUGAUGUAACAGAAUAGUUUUGUGGGCUAUUUGAAAUGAUAUGUUUGUACUGAAGUAGUAGUGGACUGGGCUGAAUCUGAUUGAUGUUCAGUACUUCUAUUACGCUAAAACAUGACAAUCCAGUCAUCCCUGAAAAAGUGUUUCCAGUUACACUAUGUUCUCAAGAUUCCAGCUGCUGGUUUCAAAUGGGCACCAAAAGGAGGACUGAUCUUGCAGUCUGUUUCCCAGGACGUAUAUCAGAAUUUGGCUUUAGAAGACUGGAUCCAUGAUACCCUUGACUUGGAGAACAGACAAAUUCUUUUCCUAUGGAGAAAUUCUUCUGCUGUAGUGAUAGGCAGACAUCAGAAUCCUUGGCAGGAAUGUAAUCUCAAAAUGAUGCGUCAGAAGGGAAUAAAACUAGCCAGGAGAAGGAGUGGAGGAGGAACAGUUUAUCACGAUCUAGGAAACAUCAACCUGACUUUCUUUACAACCAGGAAAAAAUAUGAAAGAAUGGAAAAUUUAAGACUGGUUGUUAAAGCUUUAAAAUCCCUACGCCCACAAUUAGAUGUGCAGGCUACUGCAAGAUGUGACCUCUUAUUAAAUGAGAUUUUUAAAAUCUCGGGCACUGCUGCAAAGCUCGGAAGGACUGUAGCUUACCACCACUGCACCUUGCUCUGCAAUACCAACAAACAUAUAUUGUCAUCUGUACUGAAAAGUCCUUACAAUGGGAUAAAAAGCAAUGCUACACCAAGUGUCCCAGCCUUAGUGAAAAACCUCUUGGAAGAAGACCCUACUUUAACUUGUGAGAUGCUCAUGGAUGCCAUUGCUGAAGAGUAUGCUACACACUAUCAUGCUGAUAACUGUAUCACUGUAAUAAAUCCAGCUGAUGAAAAGGAGUUUCCUGGAAUUAAUAAUAAAGCAAAGGAACUACAAGCCUGGGAGUGGAUCUACGGUAAAACACCCAAGUUCAGUAUUAGCAAAUGCUUGAACAUAGUAGAUGAACAAUCUUGCUUUGACAUAAAGAUAAAUAUGGACAUAAAGAAUGGCAAAAUUGAAACACUUGACAUUGAUGUGCCUCCGCAAUGGCUGCCACCAAUGAUGUGCUGUAAACUGAAGGACAACCUUAUUGGCAGCAAGUUCUGUCCAAGCGAAACUACAGCCGCAGCAAAUGCUUUGCUGAGAACGUGUACAGAUUACAAAUUAUAUAGCAAAUGGAAUCUGUUAUGUGAAAAAGUGUUAACACUAAUGUGACUGCCUUGAUAAGAAACUGCUCAAUCACUGCCAUGCCAUUAUCAAGCUUGCUCUAGUACAAGAUUUGGAGGGAUGAAGAAGAGAGAUAUAAGAUAGCAAUGUUGGUUAUGCAACAAGUAUUUAAGAAUGAAUUUAGACAAUCCAAUUCCCUUUUUAAAAAUAAGUCGUUUAUUAGUUCAGUUUAAGUUAUUUCAAGCAAGUGUUAAAGAUUUCAGGUUUCACAUUUAUCAUAAUGGGAUAAUUAUCAUCCCUGCCUGCAACUUUUCUUUAUUUAUUCAUUUCUGUCAUUUAAUAUCAUGCUGAUCAACUCAAAGGACUUCUUGUAACAGCUUACAAAAAUAAUAAUAAAAAGGACAAGUGAAAAAAAAA